ACUACGGAUCAGAAGAUUCUAGGUUCGACUCCUGGCUGGCUCGCGGUGUACGUUUUGCCACCUUCCGGUUGGACAUAACAAGACCUCCUUGGAAAGGAUCAUGGCUAGACUGUGAUUAGAUACCACGAAUUUUAAUGCUACUCUGCCCCAAGUGUCGUCUUUUAAGCUGUGUUUGGAACCCGGAGCUGUCCGAGAUGCUGUGCAAAUUGCGAAGUGCCCAAUUCUUAAUCAUGCCCACGAGAAGACUCUGUAAAUGUGGUGCCCAGCUCGGAGACCUGAGAAGGCCUGAAAGUCUGCGGCCGACAGGGGACUCGAACCCGGGGAAUUUUGAGUCAUCGGACACUGUCCAUUAAUGGCUCAGUCGAUCAAUUAAUUUAUUCAAUGUAAUGUUUUUCUCCCCCAAGGAAAUUAUAGGAAAUUUGUAAAAUACAGAAAAUUAUGGAGAAUAAAAAUAACGCGAACUUCCAUCCCGAGAUCAUUACUAUGAGCAUUAUAAUUUUUUUCCUUAUAGACUUUUUUUCUUCCACACUUUUUAAUGUGGAUAUACUUACAUAUGUAUUUUUCCAAAUUGGAGUUGUACCAGGAAUGGGUUUAUGUUCUCAUUUUAUCUCCUUUAGAUUUUCGUCUGAGAUUUAAGGUCAUUAAAUAUUCUUUGAAGAUAUUCUAUAAGAGAACUGGAUAUGUUAACCAUAAUCCUUAUGUUGGAAAUUGGGUUGUUGCCAGUUUAACACUUUUUAAAAAUGAUGCUGUGUUGAAUUAUUUCUGUCUUAUAAGUUUCUAGAUGUGGAAUGACCAGGUGGACAUCUUUAAGGUCCAUUUUGUGAACAUUUUUAAGACAUUUGGUACAUAUUUUCAAAUUGCCUUCCAAAAAAUUAAACCAAUACACAUUUUCUGAUUAGCAUCUGUUUCCACGCAUGCUAACCAACACUGGAUAUUAUAAAUUUAAUUAUAACUUCUUUGCCAGUUUUAUAAUUGAAAAA
Molecule: long non-coding RNA, 980 nt
Organism: Galeopterus variegatus (Sunda flying lemur)
Lineage: Eukaryota; Metazoa; Chordata; Mammalia; Dermoptera; Cynocephalidae
Exons: 2
Source: RefSeq, a predicted model, not a curated record